This 442-nucleotide ribosomal RNA is filed under the name uncultured bacterium. RNAcentral describes it as "partial 16S ribosomal RNA". It matches the Rfam family "Bacterial small subunit ribosomal RNA", at positions 338 to 795 of the family's 1533-position model. The record is from RNAcentral.
CCUACGGGAGGCAGCAGUGGGGAAUAUUGGGCAAUGGACUCACGUCUGACCCAGCAACGCCGCGUGAAGGAAGAAGGCCUUCUGGUUGUAAACUUCUUUUUAUGGGGAAGAGCAGCAGACUGUACCCCUUGAAUCUGCCACGGCUAACUACGUGCCAGCAGCCGCGGUAAUACGUAGGUGGCAAGCGUGUUCCGGAUUUACUGGGUGUAAAGGGCGUGCAGCCGGAGAGACAAGUCAGAUGUGAAAUCCACGGGCUCAACCCGUGAACUGCAGUUGAAACCGGUUCCCUUGAGUGUCGGAGAGGUAAUCGGAAUUCCUUGUGUAGCGGUGAAAUGCGUAGAUAUAAGGAAGAACACCAGUGGCGAAGGCGGAUUACUGGACGAUAACUGACGGUGAGGCGCGAAAGCGUGGGGAGCAAACAGGAUUAGAUACCCCAGUAGUC